GGGGAUUUAGCUCAGUGGUAGAGCGCUUGCCUAGGAAGCUCAAGGCCCUGGGUUCAGUCCCCAGCUCCG
Molecule: non-coding RNA, 69 nt
Organism: Rattus norvegicus (Norway rat)
Lineage: Eukaryota; Metazoa; Chordata; Mammalia; Rodentia; Muridae
Source: Rfam